GAUGAACGCUGGCGGCGUGCUUAACACAUGCAAGUCGAACGGGAAUUAUUUUAUUGAAACUUCGGUCGAUUUAAUUUAAUUCUAGUGGCGGACGGGUGAGUAACGCGUGGGUAACCUGCCUUAUACAGGGGGAUAACAGUCAGAAGUGGCUGCUAAUACCGCAUAAGCGCACAGAGCUGCAUGGCUCAGUGUGAAAAACUCCGGUGGUAUAAGAUGGACCCGCGUUGGAUUAGCUGGUUGGUGGGGUAACGGCCCACCAAGGCGACGAUCCAUAGCCGGCCUGAGAGGGUGAACGGCCACAUUGGGACUGAGACACGGCCCAGACUCCUACGGGAGGCAGCAGUGGGGAAUAUUGCACAAUGGGGGAAACCCUGAUGCAGCGACGCCGCGUGAAGGAAGAAGUAUCUCGGUAUGUAAACUUCUAUCAGCAGGGAAGAUAGUGACGGUACCUGACUAAGAAGCCCCGGCUAACUACGUG
RNAcentral lists this ribosomal RNA (478 nucleotides) under uncultured bacterium. RNAcentral's name for it is "partial 16S ribosomal RNA". It matches the Rfam family "Bacterial small subunit ribosomal RNA", at positions 28 to 507 of the family's 1533-position model. The record is from RNAcentral.